UCCUCUCAUGAUCUCACUUUUCAGGUCUGGAAGCUCUUCUGACUUCAAUGCUUCUCCAGAGCUGAGCUCUGUAUGUAGCAAACAAGAUUUUGCUAGAUGUGUGUAUGUACUGUCUUAGCAGCCAGAUGCUGAGGAAAAUUAAAGUGCUGACCAAGACCAAGAUUUCUUUGAGGACAACGGAUAUAAUCUAAUUUUUCAGGAAAAAAAUAGAACCACAUAAAGCAAACAUUGGUUUUUUAGAAAGUAUGAAUUAGGACACCUUGGGCCUCCACAUGUCCUGAUGUGUAAAGAAGAGUUAUGCACUGUAUAAAAUACUCCAGACUCAAAAUCAAGAAAAGGAUGUGGAUCACGGAACCUAUUGAUAAGUCCAGGUGCUGAUGCUCAGCUGCUGCUUAUGAUGAGGAACUACUGCUCAGGGGCUCUACUCUCCUUUCUGUGGUUUGGAAUCACUGGGUUACUCCAAUCAACCAGCCCUACCUACAUAUGCAUGAAUCCCAAUCACUGACACCCUUUGAGUUAAUUUUCCAGGAAGAAAUUAGUUCACACUGUUAGACAACCAACAGAGAAGGAAGAAGGAAGACAAGGUUACAUGGCUCCAUCAUUAGCUAAUCUUGGUUUGGGACUUACAAGUAGUAUGACCUGAGGAAGUACAUGACCUCUCUCUAUGAACUGCUGUUAGUGAUAGAUAUUAAGAAAUAGAUUCUAGUUCUUAAGAGUCCUAGACAGCACUCUUUCCACUACAGCAUGCUGGCUACUGGUUAUACUUGGUCCCAUAAUGAUUCAGAGGGAACAAAUUUCUCUGAGUCAAAAGGCUUUGGGUUUUGUGCAAAACUCCUUAAAAUUCAAUGCCUAAUGCUCCUGUCAGCUGGGGCAACAGAAGAGCCUGGGUGAAUGGCUUCAAAGUAUUCCCUGACCCUUUGGGUAUUGUUCUCAACAGAGGAAGCACUAGGGGAGAAUUUUGGAAAUUUGGAGGAAGGAGCAUUUUUGGUUGUCACAUGACUGGUGAGAAGUGCUGCAUUGACAGAUAGAUGGCAGGAGCCAGGGAUGCUAGACAUCUUGCAAAUCAUGAGACAGUCCUACUCCACAAAGAAUUGGCCCACAUCCCGAGUGACUUUUAAAUGUCCCGCUAGACACUCAUGUGAGUUUAAAAAGAAAAAAAACUUUAUUUGAAAUCAUCUGAGCCUAGAACCUAUUUCCGUUUUACACAUAAUCACAAAUUAUUUAUCGCAUGAUUCUAAUGUACAUUGAAUUUUUUGGAAACAAAACUACUAUGAAAAUGGAAGGAAGACUGUACUUUGUUUUGUUUGGAACUUGGCUAAGACAUGUUCAUCAUUUUUCCUUUAGAUGUUCAUCAUUUUGAGUGUUAACAAUGGCAGUGCCACUCAUGGCAUUUGAGUCACCAAUAUACUACACCCAUAUGGUCUGAAUUCAUAGCUUCUACACCCAUGGACAUUCUACAUAUGUGUGCAAGCACCUGAUUACUUCAGUACAGCUUCUGUAGUCAUGCUCAAGCAUUUACAUGUUGAAAUUAUUUUAUUAUAAAUGCUUUCAUUUUAUGUCUCCUAUGUAGUACAAUUAAGGGAUUAUUUUUUAAAUUGUAUGUGUAAAUAUGUAGAAAUUUCAUUUCAA
This is a long non-coding RNA of Lemur catta (Ring-tailed lemur), 1629 nucleotides long. RefSeq lists it as uncharacterized. The record is from RefSeq and is a predicted model, not a curated record. The transcript is spliced from 4 exons. NCBI's taxonomy places the organism in Eukaryota, Metazoa, Chordata, Mammalia, Primates, Lemuridae.